UACGGAGGGGGCGAGCGUUAUUCGGAAUUAUUGGGCGUAAAGGGCGCGUAGGCGGCGCGAUAAGUCAAAGGUGAAAUCCCUCGGCUCAACUGAGGAACUGCCUUUGAAACUGUCGUGCUUGAGGCCGGGAGGGGGUAGCGGAAUUCCCAGUGUAGCGGUGAAAUGCGUAGAUAUUGGGAGGAACACCAGUGGCGAAGGCGGCUACCUGGACCGGUUCUGACGCUGAUGCGCGAAAGCGGGGGUAGCAAACAGG
RNAcentral lists this ribosomal RNA (253 nucleotides) under uncultured bacterium. RNAcentral's name for it is "partial 16S ribosomal RNA". It matches the Rfam family "Bacterial small subunit ribosomal RNA", at positions 524 to 776 of the family's 1533-position model. The record is from RNAcentral.